CCCAGGUUGCAAAGAAGUAUACAAGGUCGGGGAUCUUGAUGAUGAGAUCCCAAAUUUUUCUAAUGGAGCAUUGUCUUUACCGGCACCAGGUGGUUCCAAAGGUAUGAUGAGGAGAAAUCAAAAUGGAGAGUUCGACCACAACAAAUGGCUGUUUGAGACACAAGGCACAUACGGGUAUGGAAAUGCUUAUUGGCCUGAUGAUAGGGACGGAGAUGACGGAGAUGGAGGAAUCCACAAAACCAUGCUGGAUACAUCUGCUGAUAUACCUUGGAAACCCCUCAGUAGGAAGUUGCCAAUACCACAUAGCAUCAUUAGCCCUUAUAGGUAAUUAGAACUUUAAUUUUGUGUACGAAUUGCUAUAUAUAUAAAAACUUAAUUGAGUAAUACUACGUUCGUACAGGUUGCUAAUUGUUAUUCGACUAGUGGUACUGUGCUUCUUCUUGGCAUGGAGAGUACGACAUCCAAACAGGGAAGCAAUGUGGUUAUGGGUGAUGUCAAUUACAUGUGAAUUAUGGUUUGCAUUUUCAUGGAUCCUGGAUCAGAUGCCCAAGGUGACGCCCAUUAAUAGGUCGACUGAUCUAGUGGUACUAAGAGAGAAAUUUGAUAUGCCAUCACCGUCCAAUCCUUCGGGUAGGUCGGAUCUACCAGGAGUUGACAUGUUUGUGUCAACGGCUGAUCCAGAAAAAGAGCCGCCCCUUGUCACAGCCAACACCAUCCUAUCCAUAUUAGCAGUUGACUAUCCCGUGGAUAAGCUUGCUUGCUAUAUUUCAGACGAUG
Molecule: long non-coding RNA, 777 nt
Filed under: Capsicum annuum
Lineage: Eukaryota; Viridiplantae; Streptophyta; Magnoliopsida; Solanales; Solanaceae
Description: long non-coding RNA (CANN_LNC005476)
Source: RNAcentral